Molecule: ribosomal RNA, 776 nt
Filed under: Klebsiella pneumoniae
Lineage: Bacteria; Pseudomonadati; Pseudomonadota; Gammaproteobacteria; Enterobacterales; Enterobacteriaceae
Description: bacterial SSU rRNA
Rfam family: Bacterial small subunit ribosomal RNA
Source: RNAcentral
UGACAGUCGAGCGGUAGCACAGAGAGCUUGCUCUCGGGUGACGAGCGGCGGACGGGUGAGUAAUGUCUGGGAAACUGCCUGAUGGAGGGGGAUAACUACUGGAAACGGUAGCUAAUACCGCAUAACGUCGCAAGACCAAAGUGGGGGACCUUCGGGCCUCAUGCCAUCAGAUGUGCCCAGAUGGGAUUAGCUAGUAGGUGGGGUAACGGCUCACCUAGGCGACGAUCCCUAGCUGGUCUGAGAGGAUGACCAGCCACACUGGAACUGAGACACGGUCCAGACUCCUACGGGAGGCAGCAGUGGGGAAUAUUGCACAAUGGGCGCAAGCCUGAUGCAGCCAUGCCGCGUGUAUGAAGAAGGCCUUCGGGUUGUAAAGUACUUUCAGCGGGGAGGAAGGCGAUAAGGUUAAUAACCUUGUCGAUUGACGUUACCCGCAGAAGAAGCACCGGCUAACUCCGUGCCAGCAGCCGCGGUAAUACGGAGGGUGCAAGCGUUAAUCGGAAUUACUGGGCGUAAAGCGCACGCAGGCGGUCUGUCAAGUCGGAUGUGAAAUCCCCGGGCUCAACCUGGGAACUGCAUUCGAAACUGGCAGGCUAGAGUCUUGUAGAGGGGGGGUAGAAUUCCAGGUGUAGCGGUGAAAUGCGUAGAGAUCUGGAGGAAUACCGGUGGCGAAAGCGGCCCCCUGGACAAAGACUGACGCUCAGUGCGAAAGCGUGGGAGAGCAACAGGAUUAGAUACCCUGGUAGUCCACGCCGUAAACGAUGUCGAUUUGGAGG